GUGGGGAAUCUUAGACAAUGGGCGCAAGCCUGAUCUAGCCAUGCCGCGUGAGCGAUGAAGGCCUUAGGGUUGUAAAGCUCUUUCGCUGGGGAAGAUAAUGACUGUACCCAGUAAAGAAGCCCCGGCUAACUCCGUGCCAGCAGCCGCGGUAAUACGGAGGGGGCUAGCGUUAUUCGGAAUUACUGGGCGUAAAGCGCACGUAGGCGGACCAGAAAGUUGGGGGUGAAAUCCCGGGGCUCAACCUCGGAACUGCCUUCAAAACUCCUGGUCUUGAGUUCGAGAGAGGUGAGUGGAAUUCCGAGUGUAGAGGUGAAAUUCGUAGAUAUUCGGAGGAACACCAGUGGCGAAGGCGGCUCACUGGCUCGAUACUGACGCUGAGGUGCGAAAGCGUGGGGAGCAAACAGGAUUAGAUACCCCUGUAGUCC
This 425-nucleotide ribosomal RNA is filed under the name uncultured bacterium. RNAcentral describes it as "partial 16S ribosomal RNA". It matches the Rfam family "Bacterial small subunit ribosomal RNA", at positions 354 to 796 of the family's 1533-position model. The record is from RNAcentral.